UAGGGAAUCUUCGGCAAUGGACGAAAGUCUGACCGAGCAACGCCGCGUGAGUGAAGAAGGUUUUCGGAUCGUAAAACUCUGUUGUUAGAGAAGAACAAGGACGUUAGUAACUGAACGUCCCCUGACGGUAUCUAACCAGAAAGCCACGGCUAACUACGUGCCAGCAGCCGCGGUAAUACGUAGGUGGCAAGCGUUGUCCGGAUUUAUUGGGCGUAAAGCGAGCGCAGGCGGUUUCUUAAGUCUGAUGUGAAAGCCCCCGGCUCAACCGGGGAGGGUCAGUGGAAACUGGGAGACUUGAGUGCAGAAGAGGAGAGUGGAAUUGCAUGUGUAGCGGUGAAAUGCGUAGAUAUAUGGAGGAACACCAGUGGCGAAGGCGGCUCUCUGGUCUGUAACUGACGCUGAGGCUCGAAAGCGUGGGGAGCAAACAGG
Molecule: ribosomal RNA, 429 nt
Filed under: Gemmatimonadota bacterium
Lineage: Bacteria; Pseudomonadati; Gemmatimonadota
Description: Gemmatimonadetes bacterium partial 16S ribosomal RNA
Rfam family: Bacterial small subunit ribosomal RNA
Source: RNAcentral